Molecule: ribosomal RNA, 499 nt
Filed under: uncultured bacterium
Lineage: Bacteria
Description: partial 16S ribosomal RNA
Rfam family: Bacterial small subunit ribosomal RNA
Source: RNAcentral
GAUGAACGCUGGCGGCGUGCCUAAUACAUGCAAGUCGAGCGAACAGACGAGAGUGCUUGCACUCUCUGACGUUAGCGGCGGACGGGUGAGUAACACGUGGGUAACCUACCUAUAAGACUGGGAUAACUUCGGGAAACCGGAGCUAAUACCGGAUAAUAUUUAGCUUCGCAUGAAGCAAUAGUGAAAGACGGUUCUGCUGUCACUUAUAGAUGGACCCGCGGUGUAUUAGCUAGUUGGUGAGGUAACGGCUCACCAAGGCAACGAUACAUAGCCGACCUGAGAGGGCGAUCGGCCACACUGGGACUGAGACACGGCCCAGACUCCUACGGGAGGCAGCAGUAGGGAAUCUUCCGCAAUGGACGAAAGUCUGACGGAGCAAUGCCGCGUGAGUGAAGAAGGUUUUCGGAUCGUAAAACUCUGUUGUAAGGGAAGAACAAGUACGUUAGUAACUGAACGUACCUUGACGGUACCUUACCAGAAAGCCACGGCUAACUACGUG